Hirundo rustica (Barn swallow) is the source of this 989-nucleotide long non-coding RNA. RefSeq lists it as uncharacterized. Lineage: Eukaryota; Metazoa; Chordata; Aves; Passeriformes; Hirundinidae. The record is from RefSeq and is a predicted model, not a curated record. The transcript has 3 exons.
UUAUGCCGCUGUGUCGGUUGCUUUCUUUUCUCCUGACGUCACGUGUGCAAGUCUGAGAGCACCUUACAUUCCUGGUGGGGAAGGGGAGCGUGGCUGGUGGCGUCCCUCUCUGACACCAUGUAAGGAAUGGAAUGCAGGGGUAGGGCCGUCGCGGUCUCAACCCGGUCACCUCCGCCAGGAAAACCGGCGGGACUAGGUUAGAACUCUGCCCCGCAGCCGGAAAGUACAGUAACGGCUGAGACAGCCACUCUCGUCCACAUAAAGGUGGGGGCUGGCCUACCUCAAGCGCCUUUCCUGGGGGAAGAGAGCGACGUUCGUCUUUCGCUGGAGCUCCGCGGGAGUUGAGGGGUGCUGGGAGGCAGCAGAGGCGCCUCAGAGGGCAGGUCCGGCUUGAAACCGCUCUGGUAGCCCAAGAUGGAUUUCGUGACAUGACCCGCGGGUAACUUUAUGAUGCCUGUAUCCCCAGUUGUCUGUUCUGUUUGUGCUGUAUAUUGAGUCCUGUGCCUUUAAGACUGGUUCUAAGAGCAAGGAGAAGCGCGGAGUUUGUUUUGAGAAAACUACCUGACUCCUCCACAUUCUUCUGUGGACAGCGUGUUCGGCGGAGGCUUGGAGAGACUGCAGGACAGAGAUCUUGUUUUGCUUUUAGUUAGUUUCAGCUAGCUAGGGCAGAGAAGUUCCCUAGACUGUUUUUUUUCCCCUUUUUCUUGGAACUGUUUAAACCUGCUCUAAACUGAAAACCCAGGGGAGCACUGGGGGCUGCACCUGCGGCCCACCGGGGCCUGGACCUCGGCAUUUUCCAGCAGCGCCAGAGAGACUGGGACUGAGGAAAAGCACUGAGAGAGAGAUCCGAGCUACACCCACGGCAAGGACUUUCUCAAUUUGCCAUCUCACUUCAGAAGGAGAAGUUUUAUUGUUUCAUAUUAUUCAUUCUUUAUACUUGUAUGCACUUCAUUUGUUUAGUAAAAUAGUUUUUUCCACUUUUCUCCAAA